Molecule: ribosomal RNA, 465 nt
Filed under: uncultured bacterium
Lineage: Bacteria
Description: partial 16S ribosomal RNA
Rfam family: Bacterial small subunit ribosomal RNA
Source: RNAcentral
GACGAACGCUGGCGGCGUGCUUAACACAUGCAAGUCGAACGGAAAGGCCCCUUUGGGGGUACUCGAGUGGCGAACGGGUGAGUAACACGUGAGUAACCUGCCCUUGACUUCGGGAUAACUUCAGGAAACUGGGGCUAAUACCGGAUAGGAAUCCUUGCUGCAUGGUGGGGGUUGGAAAGCUUCGGCGGUUUUGGAUGGACUCGCGGCUUACCAGCUUGUUGGUGGGGUAGUGGCUUACCAAGGCUUUGACGGGUAGCCGGCCUGAGAGGGCGACCGGCCACAUUGGGACUGAGAUACGGCCCAGACUCCUACGGGAGGCAGCAGUGGGGAAUAUUGCACAAUGGGCGGAAGCCUGAUGCAGCAACGCCGCGUGCGGGAUGACGGCCUUCGGGUUGGAAACCGCUUUCAGCAGGGGCGAAGCUUGUGGUGACGGUACCUGCAGAAGAAGCACCGGCUAACUACGUG